Molecule: small nucleolar RNA, 123 nt
Filed under: Echinops telfairi (small Madagascar hedgehog)
Lineage: Eukaryota; Metazoa; Chordata; Mammalia; Afrosoricida; Tenrecidae
Description: Small nucleolar RNA SNORA61 (ENSETEG00000026509.1)
Source: RNAcentral
AUUCCCCCAGAUUCCUUAACCCUCAGCUCUAAAUAUUGGUCUGUGUGGCUAAAAAAAGGAGAGAACGUAACAUUGAAGUGCACUUGGAGUCUUUAGUGACAUACCAGUCCAUUUCAAGCAUAA